Non-coding RNA from Paramuricea clavata, 133 nucleotides. NCBI's taxonomy places the organism in Eukaryota, Metazoa, Cnidaria, Anthozoa, Malacalcyonacea, Plexauridae. The record is from the annotation of a GenBank genome assembly.
GGAUAUUUUAAGAAAUAAAUGCGGAAAAAAAAGCGGAGAAAAAACGGCGAAGGGGAAAAGGGCGAAGGAAAAAUAAAGCAUAUUUUUCCUUCGCCCUUUUCCCCUUCGCCCGUUUUUCCUUCGCCCUUUUCCC